AUGCUCACUUUGGAAGCACUUAUGCUAAAACUAGAGCAAUACAGAGAAGAUUAGCAUGGUCCCUACAACAUGCAAAUUCAUGAAGCAUUCCAUAUUUUU
RNAcentral lists this small nuclear RNA (99 nucleotides) under Castor canadensis (American beaver). Lineage: Eukaryota; Metazoa; Chordata; Mammalia; Rodentia; Castoridae. The record is from RNAcentral.